GCGCCCCUCCAGGCGGCCGUCUCUGCAAGGAUCGCCCCCGCCGCGCUCCAUACCUGGUCCUUUGUCAACAGCUCCCGAAGAAUUCAGAAAAUCAAAUUUAUUUCCCGAUUACCGCCGGGGCGCCCCUUUGUGCGGUGAGGCCUCUUUAACGGUUGCGAUUCCAGCCCACUCUGUGAAGAAGGCCUUUUAAGGAAAGCGCGCCCCGCUGACUCCUGGCCUCCGUGGGGACUCGAGGGCGAGGUCUUCGCGUAAUAAAGACGCUAACGAGCCCCAAAACGUGGGCUUGUCAAGUGUCCUUCCUGCUAACGGGGAUAAAUCAAUAGGCCUCUUGAGUUCGGAGGGUGUAUUUGCUCGCCCCCCUCCCCCCUUAGGAAUGAACGGAUAGAUGCUGACUCCAUGGCUUGCCAGCCCAGCGCUGCCCUCAGCCCGCGGGGAGCCAGUGGUCAUGGCGGUGAAUUGGAUACCUACACCAGAGAAGGCCUGAGCGGCGUAAUCAAAUAAGGGAGCCACUUGAACUGAACUCCCAGCAGGAGCAGGAGGGAGGCCUGGAGAGGUUACAGGUGGUCCUGGAGGUGACACUGGCAGUGAUGAGCCCAUGGCUAUGCAUGUCUUCUUUCAGAUGGUCCUGGAGGUGACACUGGCAGUGAUGAGCCCAUGUCUAUGCAUGUCUUCUUUCAGGUGGUCCUGGAGGUGACACUGGCAGUGAUGAGCCCAUGACUAUGCAUGUCUUCUUUCAGGUGGUCCUGGAGGUGACACUGGCAGUGAGACUUUGAAGAGCAUGUCAAAACCAUCAAAGCACAGAAUGUUGGUGCCGGAUGGCGCUUUCAAGUUCAUGGUCCACUCCAUCCCAAAGACAGAUGGGAAAACCGAAGCCCAUGCCAAGAGAAGUUCCUUCCCCAAGACCACAGGCAGAAAUGUUUGCCCUCCUAGUACGACCAUUAUUCUGCUGUAUCAGUCUGCCAUUUACAACAAAGUCCUCGUUAUAUGACAGAGAACUAUUUAUAAUGCUAGUAUUGAAGGAUAUGAUUAGCAUGUUUGCUGUGGGUUGAUCUGUCAGACUUGGCCUGGGAGCAGCUGUUACAUUUAGAGAAACAAGUUUGAAUCCAGAAGUCAUCCAAACUCUGUGAUAAAAACAGUAGACCAUGUCAUGCUAGGAUCCUAUGUGAUUAGGGCUGAUUUGUCCUCUGUACUAAGUUUUUAUUUUAACUCAUUGUUGGGCUUUUGGUUUAUUUCCUUGUCACUUUUUCUAUACAUAGGUUUGACAGCUGUGUAAUCAUAGAAUACUAUAUCAACUACUUUAUAUUUUGUUUUGGGGAGGGGGGUUUGAGUAAAACCUUCUUGCU
Odocoileus virginianus texanus is the source of this 1343-nucleotide non-coding RNA. Lineage: Eukaryota; Metazoa; Chordata; Mammalia; Artiodactyla; Cervidae. The record is from RefSeq and is a predicted model, not a curated record.